ACGGCAGAAGAAUGCGAAUGGGCGAUGAGGGAGCGUUAGGCACAACCGUUUGUGCUCUGGCGAUUGGUGGUCCACUGAUUUGGGGACAGAGGAUUCUUUUUUUUAGCUUUUUCGGUUUCAGGUACAGAAGUUACGCUGCGUAAACAUCUCACGUCCACAGAAAUGUCUACCAGAUGAGGGGCCGAAAGCAGGCGAAAGAAGAAGACGUGCACAGCCAGCUCUCCAAAAAAAAAAAGGGGGAUGGAGGAGGAGGAGUUACUAGUAAUCAUUAGAUAAGGCUAGGACAAAUGAAGGAUCGAUAUACAAUAACAAUAUGAAACUGCACAGGUGUCUGUCUGAAUGAGAGCAUGCUCCGUAGUAAG
RNAcentral lists this small RNA (362 nucleotides) under Histoplasma capsulatum var. duboisii H88. Its description in RNAcentral is "Histoplasma capsulatum H88 hypothetical RNA". Lineage: Eukaryota; Fungi; Ascomycota; Eurotiomycetes; Onygenales; Ajellomycetaceae. The record is from RNAcentral.